GACUGUCCAAGAAAUUGCCCCUGAGUCUGUGUACAGAACUUGGAGAGAAGCGAGGGUAGAUAAUAAAGGGGCAUCCAAUUUUCCAAAUAUAACUUGGCGUUUUAACGUGAGUAAGAAAGCUAGGCAUCUUGUUCGUCUGCACUUUUGUGACUUUAUCAGCGAGUCACCGGUACUGUGAAAUUUGAUCUCAAUAUAUCUACCAAUUUCAGUCAUGUGAUCGAUCCUAAUUCUGGUGGGUUUAGUGAAAUGGCAUCUCCAUUUUUCUACGAUUUUGUGGUUGCUUCUGAUGAUUCCGGAUAUAUGAGUUUUAGUAUAGCCCCAGGAAAUAAUUCUAUUAAGAAAGUUGCUUUUCUGAAUGGACUGGAGAUCAUGGAGUUUGUGGGGAAAAAAAUAAUUGUAGUGCCUGUUGAUGAACGUGAGUCAAAAAACCAUCUAGCUCUCAUAAUUGGUUCAGCUGGAGGUGUGGCUCUAGUCUUGGUUUUGAUUUUAUUAUUCUCAUUAUGUUUGAGAUUAAAGCGACCAAAGCCCGUAAAAGCUGAGUUUCUUUAUGGAAAAGGGAGGUCUCCCAGUUGGAUAACUGAAAGAACUGAAAAUGCCUCCUCCAACGUUACUAAUUUAAACCUCAAACUGAAGAUGUCUUUAGCUGAAAUACUGGCGGCGACUCAUAAUUUCAAUCCAAAGUUGUUGAUUGGUGAGGGUGGGUUUGGCAAAGUUUAUAAAGGAACUCUUGAGAGUGGUAUGAAGGUGGCUGUGAAACGAAGCGAUUCAAGUCAUGGCCAAGGUCUUCCAGAGUUCCAAACUGAGGUCAUGGUCCUUUCAAAGAUUCAACAUCGGCAUCUUGUUUCCUUGGUUGGCUACUGCGAUGAAGGAUCGGAGAUGAUAUUGGUUUUUGAAUUCAUGGAAAAGGGGACUUUGAGGGACCACUUAUACAGCAGGAAGGAGUGCUUAAAGAAUCCAUCUGCAGAAACUGAAUUGACUUGGAAACAAAGGCUUGAAAUCUGUAUUGGCUCAGCAAAAGGUCUCCAUUACCUCCAUACUGGUCCAGAUGGAGGAAUCUUUCACCGUGAUGUUAAGUCUACAAACAUCUUACUUGAUGAACAUUACGUGGCCAAAGUAGCUGAUUUCGGUCUUUCUCAACAAGGAAUGCCUGAUCCGGACCAUAUAAGCAUGGGUUUUAAAGGUACUUUUGGUUAUCUUGACCCUGAAUAUUUCAGAACUUUUCAGUUAACCAACAAAUCAGAUGUGUAUGCUUUUGGUGUGGUUCUUCUUGAGGUGCUUUGUGCUCGACCCCUGUUGUAGACUCACAGCAGAAGGAAGAAAUAAACUUAGCUGAAUGGGGGAUGUUUUGGCAAAAGGAAGGGCAGCUUGAAAAGAUUAUUGAUCCUCUACUAGCAGGUCACAUCAACCUUAAUUCACUGAGAAAAUUUGGUGAAAUAGUCGAGAAGUGUUUGAAGCCCCAAGGAGCAGACAGGCCUAAUAUGCAUGAUGUGUGCUGGGAUUUAGAAUACGCAAUGCAGCUUCAACAGACUGCAGUGCAUAGAGAGGCACAUGAGGACACCACCAUAACAGGUGUUUCAUCAGAUUCAGCACUCCCAGUCAUGCAGAACAUGAGAUCUAAUAUGUUCCCAGUUGAUGAUUUCUCAGAUACAACAGAUACUGUAAUGUAUCCCAACUAAGAAUUAACGAUUCCAGAUGAUCUCCACGAGUCAGGAAUGAGCUCUCAGUACCUCCUAUUAUUAUAUCAAAUUUCUCCAGCAACGAAUGGACUUUGAAGUCAUUUGAGUAUAUGCUCUAGUUAAUUCAUGUUGUCAGAUUAGAAGUUCUAAAUAACAGCAACUAUGUUCACAAGCUUUAUCGAUUACACCAAAUGCCUUAGUAAUUCUCUGGGUUGGAAGUGCCUGUUCAACUAAGAGUGAUUGAGGUUGAUAGCAUGGCAGAUUUUAGAUGCUAAUAUAUUUAUCCCUUGAAUGCAUAUCUGUAAAAUAUAAAUAAUAAUAAAGUUUGAUUGGAUGCUAAAUUUACUAAAUUGAAAUUCAUGAUAGAUUUGUACGAAUCAUGGGCUCAAUUUUAGGUAGAACAAGCAAAUCAAGAUGACUUGCUCAAAAUUUGAUAGGCCACCACUUUUAUUCAAACACUGCAUCCUAAGAAUUAGCUUUUCGUUAUAGGAACAAGUAUUAGAAAGGAUACAUAAUUUUCAAGAAACUUAAUUGACUCGGUUAACAUGAUCUUUAGAAAUUUUAGUUGAUUCGACUAAUCUAAUUUCUAAGAAGUCGAGUUGAUCCAAUUGACACGAUCUUCAAAUUGGUCUAACUAGUUAAUUCACUACCUGUAAACCAUCAUUUGAGCUCAUGGUGUCUUUUAAUGGACAAAUUUGAAUUUAAUUUCUGCAAACCCAAAUAGAAUUAGCCGACCUAUAUUUCCUUACCUACCCUUUAUGUUGUUGGUACUUAGCACUAAAUGUUAGUGGCACCCUUCUUACCAUAGUUAGGUCUAUAGAAUAAUAUUAAAGCAUGUCAAUACUAAAGUAUGAUCCAUUUAACACCGUAUUGAUUUUAAUAAACAAUGUAACCAUCCACUAAUAGGGUUAAUUAACUCAAAUAAUUGCCUUUGAAUUAGGUCAAAUAGUGUUUUUCUAUACAUGCCCCAUUCAUCAUGUAGAUUGGUGUGUUUCAUGGGUUUAAAAAGACACAUGAAACACUAGGUAAAUUUAAUUCUUCCAUUCCUUGCAUGCAUAAAUAUUCUUAUUCUCUAAGCACUUGUAUUUAUCAUCUUCUUCAAUAUACUUUGUUACAUACGAAACACAACCUUCAAAGUUAUACCUGUCAUACAACUGAACAAACCUAAGAAUCAAAAUGUCCCCAAAGCUCUAUAUAGAACAUGUUUUAUAGGUGUCAUGACCAAUGCAAUGUUUCUUCUUCAACUUCUUAACCUAGUUAUUUUUUUGUUUGUUAAAAAUGCCUAAAUCCAAUGCAAUUUUCCUUGAGCUUCGUUAUAAUUAAGUUUAUAAAAAUAAUAAACCCAUCUAGUAUAUUGCAGGUAGUCCAAUAUUGUAUUGAAUAUGAUAAACAUUUUCUUGUUUGGCAUAAACUAAACCUUUUUUAUUUAAAUUUCCUCAAUAUGCUGAAGCAUUAGCAUUUUGUAAUGUAAAUUGUAGCCCAACCAAAUAUGUUAGCAUGUUAUGUUACUUGUUAUUUUCCAGCAAAGACAAUCCCUAUUGUGAAAUAAUAAGCUUUCUAGUUCUUAUUUUGUGACUUGUUUAUAGUUACUUUGAGUAUAUAACAAUUAUUGCUACUUAUGUUUUACAAAUAUUCUUCCAAUAUUAAUAAGAAGGCAUAGCAAUUCAUAACUUGAAACUCAUUUGUCAAGCUCAUCUACCUUAAUCACUUUUUGUUGAAUGUUGCUCCAUCAAUCAUUAAUUCUAAAUUCAGAGAACAAUGGAGUACCUAUUAGGUCAAUAAAGAGUGAUUGAUAUAUGAGUUUCUAGAUGUUAAUUUACAUGCCUUCUUAUUAAUUUUGAAUGUAUAUUUGUAAAACAUAAGAAAUAAUAAAGCUUGACUAGAUGCUCAAUGUACUAAAAUUCAUGGUAGAUUUGUCUAGGUUAGCUAAGUAAUGGAUAUGGCAAAUCUUAGGUCUAAUCAAUACCCUAAAAUGUCAUGAAACGAAGACUUUAUCUUGUAUCCAUGCCGAUCCCAAAUGUAGAUAUAAGUCACAUCAUUUCAUCUUCCUAAGAACAAUUAUGACAAUAACAUGAGAGAAAUCCUAAAAGAUUUACAACUUUUAAGUUUUGAAACUAACAAAUGGGAAGUUGUUAAAUGUUGAGAGAUUAUAGGCCACUGUUAAUGGAGAGCAUGCAUAUAUAAUGUUUGCAACUUCUCUCAUUCUAUCACUUUCAUAAAAUCAAAACAAUUACACCUUUUCUAUUUUAAUCUUAACAAUUUUAGGCAAGUGUUCAUCAUUUUAUGACUUGUAAACCAGCCAUUAAAUUACCAUAAAAAUAGUCUUGUUUCUUUUCUACUCACUACAGAGGAAUUUCAGUGUGAUUUUGAGUUAUAGAGCUAACAUUCAAAGAAACUCUAGUCGUGUUUUGUUGAAAUUUGGUGAGAAAACUCUAUUUAAGUAACAUUUUUUCCAAAAUCUUAAGAGUUUUUUAAGUCAUGAUAGAUAUUUUUAGUGUAACUAAUGAAUCCAUGGCUACCUUGUAUGAGGAGGCCUUAAGAAACUUUGGAUCUGAAAGCACUUUUAGAUAAUCGCUUUAUAAAAUAACAAAUUUUCAUACUCACUUUGCUAAUAUCCCUUUAAAUAAAUAAAUUUUAAGAAAUUCACUUUAAGAUGAUCACUUUAUAAAAACUCAAAUUUCAAAAUCACAUUGAGCAUAUCUCUUUUCAAAAUGAAUAAGUUUUCAAAAAAUCACUUCGAGAAAGUUACUCUAUAAAAAUAUCAUUUGUCAUGAGGUAGGUAGCUGCUCAAUCUAAUUAAUUGUUUUUUAAAAUUUAUGAGGUAGAUCACCUAAUGAUUUGAUAAUUUCAUAAAAAUAAGGCCACCCUUUCAAUUUAACUAUUUUAGAAAAAUAAGGUUGGUCACCUCUAAGUUUAACCAAAAUUCAAAAUUCUCUAAGUUGAUUUUGCCUCUCAAGUUUGAUGGUUUUUAAAGUUUUUUAAAAAAACAUUAUAUUUUCUUUACAAGCUUACUACACAAAUAUAUAUGUGAUGUGGCUUAAGGCAAGGUUGCGGGUUUGAUGGGGCAAAUAAACGAUAAGCAACCCAUGCGCAUGGGCUAUUCUUAAUAAUUUCAUCGGUUUUUUUUUUAACUAUUUUAUUUUAAUUUUAUUAACCUGAGGUUUAUUUUUAUUUUUUAUGUUUAUUUUAUCCAACCGAAGAGAGAGCGUGUUAAUAUUGCUGCGACCAGGUAGGAGAAAAGGAGAAUUCUUGAUGUAUUUAUUAAUUUAUUUAUAUGGAUACAUGCUGGCAAAUCCCAGGUAGCUUAAGACAGAAUGUUGUUCAAGUUUGGACGAGCUUUACACAUGACCUCCAAUGGCUCGGCUCUGCUCAUGAGGUUGACCAUCUUUUCAGUCAUGUCGAUUUCCUUUCCACCAACUCCCUCCCAGUCGAAGCACUGAAUCAGCGAGCCUAAGGUCAGGGCCAUUAUUUUGUGUGCCAAGACCUCCCCAGGACAAGCUCUCCUUCCCAAUCCAAAUGGCAAGUGCUUAUAUGCUUCGGAUUUCCAAUUCUCAAAUCUCUCAGGCUUAAACCUUUCUGGGUCCUCCCAUAUCUGGGGAUCUCUAUGAAUGGCCCAGGCAUUCACAAGUAAAAUUGUACCAGCUGGCACAUCAUAGCCUCCAACCUCACAAUCUGCAGAUGACAUAUGCGGUGCUAAGAGUGGUACAACUGGAUAUAGUCGUAAGUUCUCGAGGAUGAUGCUCUGAAGGUAGUGCAGUUUUGAAAAAUCUGAUUCAUCUAUUAAACGUUCAUGGCCAAUUUGAGUAUCCAAUUCUUCUCUGGCUUUCUUUACCACAUCUGGAUGGUUGAACAGAUUACAGACUCCCCAUUCUAUAGAUGUAACAAGUGUUUUUGUCCCAGCAAGCAACAUUAUCUGCAAGAACAAAAAAGAAAAAAGAAAAAAAAAACAAAGGGCAGUACCAUUUAAUAACAGCUUGAUGCGGCAGUACUCAAAUAAGCGAAAAAGAGUAAAUCAUGAAACUAACCAGAAUAAGUCCUUUUAUAAUUUCUUCUGUAUAGUAUUCGGGUUCAGAUUCCUGCAAAGUAAGCAAAUGAUUUAUCAUUGUGUUUCCAUUCUUUUCUCGUCGAAGUUCAUCAAUCAGUCCUUGCAAGAUCAGAUCCAUCCUGUUACUGAGCCCAGUGCACCUCUUGAUAAAUCCAUUAUAAUCAACAGAUUGAAAAAUGGGAAACACGUCCCCAAGAUUUGUCAACUCACUAAGGGCAGCAUACCCUUGUAAUGUCUCCUUAAACUUGGUUGCCUCCUCAACUAAUUUCACAUCUUCACCGUAAUAUCGCUUCCCUGCAAUCAUUCUCAUUACUAUAUUAAACGUGAAGUCCAUAAACAUGGACCUUAGUCCUACCUUAGCAAAACCAUCGCUAGAAUCUCGAUGGAGUCUGCACACCAAUCGCCUGAUUUCGUCCUUUCUGAUGGCCAAAAAUGCGUUGAGGCGAGACGAAGAGAAGAUUUCAAUGGCGCAAAUGCGGCGAAGGUUGCGCCAGUGAUCGCCAUAGCUGGCUGAAGCAAGGGUGGUGUUGUUGUAGUGCAAAUACUUGCCGGCUAAGAACUGAGGACGAUUGGCAAAAACUAUGUCAUUCUUGGUGAAGCAUUCUUCAACAGCUGACGGUGAUGAUACAACCACCACAGGUCGAGGGCCCAGUCGAAGAGAUAUGAUUGGGCCAUAUUUCUUUGAGAGGUUCUCAAGGCUUCGAUGGAUGGGUUGUCUGAGGAGAUGGAGAUGACCGAUAAAUGGAAUAGCUGGUGGGCUUGGAGGGAGAUUUCUACGUUUUUUUCUAGUUUGUAGCAACAACUUAACUGCAAGAAUAGCAAGUAAAAGACACAGAAAUGAGUAAACAUGGGUGUCUUCCAUUUGCAUGGACUGAGUAUAAUCAGUUCUUGUCUGAUUUCAACAUAUAUAAAAGAGUUUUGCACUUCUGCUGCUGUUUAAAAGUCGCUUGGUCAGUUGCAUUUUUCUUUUUUCUUUUUCUUUUUUUUCACAAAAGAUGUAAGCAAAAUUAACUUUCUUUCUUUAUAUUAUUUAAAAUUAUUUUUUGAUCAUUCUUCUUUGGCACAUGGGGGAAUUUCUACGAGGAAAUCUUAUGGCUGCAUCUAGAAAUAUAAUGGACUUUUAAGUUUUCUGGAGGAAAUAAUUUCUAAAGGAACUUGGAAUGAGUGGUGAAUUUGGCGGAAAGGGAGGUCUAGAAAUGCAGGACGAAUUUUUCGGCCGACUUUGACGAUGUGUUUCGGUUGAUGCGAGACCAUCUAGAUGAUCGAAAAUGAAAUCGCCAAAUUUACGGCUGCCCAGUGUGCCAAAUGUCUUCUGGGUUGCAGUUAUACUGUUUAGGCCAGCCAAUUACAGGAGGAACACAAGUAGUAUAUUAGAUUAUUUUAUUUUAUCCCGUGCUGUGCCGCAUAUAAAAGUAGUUUUUCUUUAAUAAAAUAAGUAUUCAAUUAUUGUUAUCAUGUUUUCUGAUAAAAUAGGCAUAAAUUCAAAAUAAGAUGUUAUUUUUAUUUUUUAAAAUAUUAGUAUGAUGAUAUAUUUAAUGAAUUUUAUUUUUAAAAUGUUUAGAUGAUAGAAUAUUGAAUCAAUUUAUAUUAAUCUGUCAAAUUUAUAACCCGAGUUAAAAAGUAAAUUAAAAUAAAUUAUUAAAAAUAAUUUCUAAUCAAGCCAAUGUUGAAAUAUAAUUUUAAAAAAAUAAAUUAAAAAAAUAACAAAAAAACUUAUUGAGUCAACUCUAAUUAACCUACUAAAUUCACGAUCAGAGUCAUGAAAUUGAGAAAACUCUAUAGAUAGUAAAUAAAAAAACUGAAGUCCAAUUACUAACCAAUUCAAUAUUAAAGAAUGAGAUAAAAAUUAAUUUAAAAAGGGAAACAGAAACGAUGUCAACUUUGGUCAACUUAUUAAACUCGAGACCUGAUUUAUAAGAUCGAGAUAAUUUUAUAAAAAUAUUAUAAAAAAUUCAUAAAGUUCCAUUUCAACUAGAUCCAAUGUUGAAUAUUGAAAUUGAGAAAAAACAAUCCAUGAGAUCAUGAUAACUUUACAAAAAACAAUUGAAAAAAAUAUAUAAAACUCAAUUCUCAAACAAUUUAAUAUUGAAGGAUAAAAUUGAAAAAAAACUAAAAAAAAAAACUAAGAUUGAGUUAUUGAAGGAUAAAAUUAAAAAAAAAACUAAGAUUGAGUUAUUGAAUAGUGAAAUUGAAAUAAAAAAUAUCCAAUUAAAAAAUGAUAAAAAAUAAAUUGAGUUAACUCAAGUCAACUUGUCAAACCCGAGUUAUGAGAUAAAAAUAACCAUAUAAAAAACAAAUGAAAAAGUUACAAAGCCUAAAAACACAUUCAAUUAAAAAUGGAUCUAAAAACUAAACAGAGUCAACAUUGUUAACCUAUCAAACCAAUUUAAUUUUGAAUGAUGAAAUUAAAAAAAAUUCAUUAGAAAAAAAAUAAAAAAAUAAUCUGAUUCAACCCGGUUAACCUGUUAAAAUUAUGACCCGACUUAUGAAAUUGAAAUAAUUCAUAAAAAGUAAAUAAAAAAAAUUAUAAAACCUCACUACCAACAUAUCUAAUGUUAAAAUCAAGAAAAAAAAACUAAAAUUAUAAAACCUCACUACCAACAUAUCUAAUGUUAAAAUCAAGAAAAAAAAAACUAAAAUUAUAAAUUCUCACUACCAACCUAUAUAUAAUUUAGUAGAAAUAAAAUUAAAAAAUUAUAAAGCAUAAUUUCUAAAAUAAUUUUAUAUUAAAAAAUAAAAUAACAAUCUAAUAUUAACCAAUAAAAUAAAAAGAAAUUUAUCGAAGAAUAAAUAACAAAUAACAGUGUUUUUUCUCCUAGUACAUGUGCGCGCCCGCCCCGUGUACCUGCCUUAUUCUUAUAAAGCAAACGAGACAAACCAACUUGCACUGCAGCCGACGUCUAGCCUUUUUAUAAAAUAUUUAUUUCAUCACGUGGCUUGAACCAUCUAGUACAUGAGAGUUGAGACCUCUCCUUAAUUUAAAAUUUCAUCCUUCUUCCCUUCGCACUAAAAUACAGUGUUUUAAAAUUCGGACCGGUCCGGCGGGUCGACCCGGGACCCGGCCGACCCGGGCAUAGGACCGGUCCAGGUGAAGACCAAAACUCGCUUGGAAAUUGACCCGGCCAGAUCCAGGUGAGACCCGGUCAAUUUUUUGGAGGGAUUCUGUCAUGCACCAGCUUCACAUCCACUGGUGCAACAUAGCAUAUAUGGACUUUCAAUCAGUGUUUUAAAACCCGGACCGGCCCGGCAGGUCGAUCCGGGACUUGAGGCCAACCCGGGCAUGGGACCGGUCCGGGUGGAGGCCAAAACCCGCUUGGAAAUUGGCCCGGCCAGACCCGGGUGAGACCCGGUCAAUUUUUUGGGGGGAUUCUGUCAUGCACCAGCUUCACAUCCACUGGUGCAACGUAGCAUAUAUGGACUUUCAAUCAUAGUUUUAAAACCCGUCCCGGUCCAAGGCCCGGGUUCCGGGUUUUGACCGGGUCAUCGGGUCUCGACCGGGUCGCCGGGUCAAAAUUUAUUUUUUAAUUUUUUUAAAAAAAAUCAAAACAACGUCAUUUUAGCAAAAAAAAAACAAAAAAAAUAAAAUUCAACGGGUUUGCGGUCAGGUCUUGACCGGGUCAACUGGGUCUGGCCGGGUCAAUUCCCAAGCGGGUUUUGGCCUCCACCCGGACCGGUCUCAUGCCCGGAUCAGCCGGGUCCCAAAUCAACCCACCAGGCUGGUCCGGGUUUUAAAACUAUACUUUCAAUAACAUAACAAAAAGUUUCGCCUGAAAAUCCACCAUGUAUAGAUAAGGCAGACAGAGGCAACAACAAAGAAUCCACCGAGUCUCUCAUAGCAAAUCAACCGACCAGUUCAGCAUCCAUUGUUUUUACUUUUCAGCCAUUGUUUUAGCUGUGAUUUGUUUUUCUUCUCUCAUUAUGAUUAAAAAAAAAAAGUAAAACAAAAAAAUGUGAGUUUAAAAACAUUGUAAAAAAUAUAAGUAAAAAAAAAUAAAACUUUGAGAGUGUUUUUUUUUUAUAUAUAGUUUUUUAUACUAGGCUUAGACCGUCCCAUUGAGAAAUCUUAAUUAAUGGGCCUUAUCCUCAUUUUCAUUAUUUUGAAAAUGCAGUCAGGCCCAGAGGAUUCCUUCCAAGUUUCAUCACUUGAAAGCUUUGACUUUGUUGGAGAAUGCCAUUCUAAUUGUAUUAAUGAAAGAAAGGGACAAAGCUUUGACAUUGUUUUUUAUUUAUUGGAAAUAAUUGUUAUUAUUUAAUGGAUGAAAAUGAUUUUCAAUUAAAGAUAACCCAAAAUAAAUAAAUAAUAAUUGUUAUUAUUUAAUGGCUUAUUUACCCUUUCCUAACGUCACUGGCAAUGUUAUGUUCCUAUUUGCUCUGCUGACUGCUGGAAAAGCAUGAUCGAAUUGAGUCAAUUGGCUAUUCCACUUCUUCUCUGUGAAAUUUCUUCAACCACUUCCCCUUUCAAGUUUCCUCCCUUAUCGUCAAACAAACAGGUAUUAAUUGAUGUGUCAGCUAGCGUCUCUUCUCCUGGCAUCUUUUACCAUUCUUACAUAGUUUAGUAAAGUCUAUGGAAAAUAACACAAGUUGGAAAAGUUUUAGAAAAAUAAUUUAGUUCGAACCCAAUUGUGCUUUUAAAUAUUGAUUUUGGGUGUUUGUUUAGUCAGAAGUUAAAUAAUUCAUGGACAAAAAAGUUAAUAUGAUCAAAGGAUGAGAUUCAAAAUUCAAUAACUAAAAAGAAGACACGAGAUAAGCUGGCUGGUGUGGAAAGAAAGAGAAACAGAGGGAGAGAAAGAAAAAAUGAAUCACCAAUAAUAUAUUAGGGCUCCUUUUUCAAUACACCCGAUAACAUUAAAAAGGUUUAAACGAGAUGUUUUUAAUCAUAUCUAAAAGAACAUUAAACAAGAUUAUAAUAACAUCAAUUAAUAAUGAGGAUCAACUCUGAUUCCUCUGUCAGUGAUGUCAUGCCAAUAGCAUUUUAAUAACAUACAAAAGUUGGGGCACAUGCCAAUUUUCUGGUAUCCUAAAUCAAGGGGUUUCAUCAUGGACUUCGCAGCAUAUAAGUUCUUUUUCAGUCUGUUCCCUUCAGGUAAAAUGCUUCUCGUCCAUUUGAUAAUUUUGUCAUACCCGACCUCACUCAACCUGUGAUCUGACUUAAUGGUGAACAACUGUGCUACGACCAAAAAUUUACUGUGGUUCGUGCAGCCAUCCCAAAAUAAUUCGUCAGAAUCUUUCAAUAGAUUAAAAAACCUAGUUGUAUCUACAUUAGGUUCUUCUUUUACGAUCAGACAUUGACUAGCGUUACCUUGAUUCAUUCUUAUUGCAUCCAUAAUCAUAUUCCUGUAAGGAUUAUUGUUGUCAUUUGCAACUCCAUGCACGUUGUUAGCACUAGAGGGUGGCCCAACCACCCUUUCUCUCAUGCUCUAAUUACGAACAAAUACUUCUCCGUGUGCAUACCAACAUAGAUAACUCUCCAUAAACCCUUUGUGUAGAAGAUGCAUCAUUACAAUAUUUGGAUGCAGAUAGUUUUUAUUUUCACACUUCCUAUAUGAACACCUAAUACCGCCUCCAGUAAAAUUUAUGGGAAUAGAUGUUGCGAAAUUAAUAAAACCCUGAACCCUGUUACAACAAUCCAUCCUUCGCAAUCCUUGAGGUGAAUCUCAAUACAUCCAUGAACGAUAAUCCAUAACUUCUAUCGAACCUCUAUAAAAUUAUGAUGACAACAUGUAUUAAUUAACUAUGUUAGGUAAAUAAAUUUGCAAAAAUAUUGGUUUACCUCCAGAUUAUCCAACGAGCUAAUUACAAUUUUUCAUAAAUAUUAAUUAUCAAUUAUCAACGUCCAUACAAAUUUAUACAUAUAAAUUUAUGAAAAUUACAACUCUGCAAUAGCAUUGAUAAAAAUUAAAACAGACCCAUUAAACAAUCUAUUAAUUAUUUCAUCACAACACAUGUAAUUUGGUAAUUCAAUAAAGUUUCAGCAAUUUACAAACAAAUACAAUUUUACAAAAUCUAAAACAAACCAUAACAAGUAUAAAAUUAUACAUUCAUAUACUACAAGUUUGUUUGAGAAAUAACAAUAAAACAUAUACAUACACUACCAAAAUACAUAUUCUAAAAAAAACAAUAAAAUUGACAUUUAAAUGUUAAAAUUAAAAAAAGAUAGAUUUACUUACAAAAAAUAAUAAAAUCCACAAUAAAUCAUAAUAUGGAUGUUGUGACUACAAAACUUAAAGAAAUAUGACUUGUGCUGAGAAGAGGGAGAUUUUUUUUUAGAGGGGCUGGUUGUUUGCAGUUUGGGAGGGGAGAGUUGGGAUAGGGAAGAAGAAUGAGAAAUAGGGGACAUAUUCACUUUUACCGAUGACAUCGCCAACGAAAUACUUUUGUCGAUGAUUCCAUCGACAAGUUUGACGGUGAAUUGGUCACAUCACUGUAUGGAGAUCCUAGUUUGAAUCCCUUACUGAUUCUGUCGAUAAAAUCGCUUGCAAAAAGUUCCACGUCAGCAAACCGUCUUUUUUUUUUAAUUAUGAAUAUUCUGUCUUUAAUUCCGUCGGUAUAUACCGACUAAAUUACAGACGGAAUAGUGUCCGUCGGUAAUUAUCACCGCAAAUUACCAAUAGAAUUAUUCCAUCGGUAAUUUCGUUGGUUUUAAGCAAAUUUCUAGUAAUGGUUAUUAUAAUUUUAUAACAUGGGUCACCUGUUUUGUGGGUUAACCCUAGUAGAAUCAAGUUAUUUUAUUGUGUCCUAUUUUUAAAUUAAAGUUUUUCUAUCUUUAUCUUUUAAUGAAGUUGCUUUUAGACUCAUCAAGUAGAUCAUGUCACAUUGAGCUAAUCUUCGCACAAUUUAAUUUGUUUUCUAUUAGAAAAACAUUAACACUACCUAAAUGUUUCUUUGUUUUUUUUGUUAAAAAAAAUUUGAUCAGCAUAUAUCAACGAUAGAGUCUUUUACUAGUUUUUUUUGUAAUAAAUAACAGUAACCAUACUCAUUCUUUAGCAAAGUUAGCCAAAUUUGUAGAUAGAAUAUACUUCUGUUAUUUUCUCAACUACUAAGAUAGAUUAUACAAAAUCUUCAUUCUGAUUAAUGAAAGUUAUGUAUAUAUUUUUUUUUUAAAGAGUGGUCCUUAUAAAUGUCAUCUCGAAAUUAGUCCUUACAGUUUUGAAUCAUUAAUAACUUAGUUUUUUUUUUUGUCAAUUUUUACCGUGUUUGUUUACGUGCUCAUGCUAUACUUUUCAAAAAAAAAUUGUUUUAUAUUAAUUUUUUUUUUAUGUUUUUAGAUUAUUUUAAUAUAUUAAUAUUAAAAAUAAAUUUUAAAAUAAUAAAAUAUAUUAUUUUAAUAUAAUUAUAAAUAAAAAAUAUUUUUUAAAAAAACUAAUAUAUUACCUUCAUAUUUGUUGUUACUAAUCAAUUAGGGACAAGUUUUAAUUAAGCCUUCAAGAUACAUUGAACAGCGAAUGAACAUAAAAGUUUUUUUUUAUAUAAUGUAUGCUUCAUAUAUUGUUGUGUAGAAUAUAUUUUCUUAGUUGAAAAUUUAUUAAAGUAGUAUUUUUUAAAAAAUUUAUAUUUUAAUUUUAACACAUCAAGAUAAUUAAAAAUUUUAAAAAUAAAAAUAUUAAUUUAAUAUUUUUUAAGAUAAAUAUACUUUUACAACAUAUCCAAAGAUAAUUAGAAAAUUACUCCCGCACCGGUAAGAAGCGAGGAAUGAGAACGGUCAAUAAUUAGUCAACAAGUCUUCCUCUGAAAUUUCAAACUUGCCAGUACUCCCUCAUAUCUUCCGCUCCUGACAUCCUUUCCUCCGUUCAAAGAAAAAGCAUCAAAUAUCCUCAUCCAAUUUCUAUGGAGUUCACUCUUCAUCCUCGCCUUCUUCUUCAAUUUCUUCUUCUUCUUCCUCUUCUUUCAUCCUCAGUAUCUUACAAUCCUUCGGUUAAGUACUUCAUGAACUGCGGAUCAGACACCAACGUCGAUCUUGAGGAAUACCGGACUUUUGUUGGUGAUGAGAAUUCUAACACUUCCUUCUCCGUAGGAAAAAGCAAAUCUAUCCAAAAUGAAAACCCUUUACCCGGCACAUCACUCCUCUAUCAUACUGGUUCCUACCUUGUCCGCCUUCAUUUCUUUCCAUUCAGCUUCAAAGGGACUCAUCUUGCUGAUGCUUUGUUCAAUGUAUCUGCUUCAAAUUUUUCACUUUUAACAGAUUUUAGAGUCCCGAACAGUACUACUCAGUUCCCAGUGAUCAAGGAGUUCUUUCUCACGAUUCCUGCAGGAAAUUUCAAAAUUUACUUUCAACCAGCUGAAGAAACAACUCAUGCUUUCGUGAAUGCCAUAGAAGCCUUUCUUCUCCCACCAAAUUUCUUCAUGGAUAAUUCAACAAUUCCUCCUUUACAGACCAAAGAUGGAGCUCUUAGGACACUUUAUAGGAUCAAUGUUGGAGGUCCAGAAGUUAAAGAUACCCUGUGGAGGAAUUGGGUACCAGAUGCUGAUUAUCUAGCUUAUGGGGGUUCGGGUGCAAACCACCGUUCUUUUUAUGGUGAACUUCAUUACCGCAGUCAAGGGUUGAUUCUCCAACAAAUUGCCCUUGAUUCUGUGUACAUAACUUGCAGAGAAGCGAGUGUAGAAAAUAUAACUUGGCGUUUUAACGUGAGUAAGAAAGCUAUGCAUCUUGUUCGUCUGCACUUUUGUGACUUUGUCAGCAAGUCACCAGGUACUGUGAAAUUUGAUCUCAAUAUAUCUACCAAUUUCAGUCAUGUGAUCGAUCCUAAUUAUGAUGGGUUUAGUGAAAUGGCAUCUCCAUUUUUCUACGAUUUUGUGUUUCCUUCUGAUGAUUCCGGAUAUAUGAGUUUUAGUAUAGCCCCAGGAAAUAAUUCUACUGCGAAAGUUGCUUUUCUGAAUGGAUUGGAGAUCAUGGAGUUUGUGGGGAACACGAUAAUUGUAGUGCCUGUUGAUGA
Molecule: long non-coding RNA, 14651 nt
Filed under: Populus tremula
Lineage: Eukaryota; Viridiplantae; Streptophyta; Magnoliopsida; Malpighiales; Salicaceae
Description: long non-coding RNA (PTRE_LNC002347)
Source: RNAcentral